This 491-nucleotide ribosomal RNA is filed under the name uncultured Enhydrobacter sp. Its description in RNAcentral is "bacterial SSU rRNA". It matches the Rfam family "Bacterial small subunit ribosomal RNA", at positions 521 to 1009 of the family's 1533-position model. Lineage: Bacteria; Pseudomonadati; Pseudomonadota; Alphaproteobacteria; Hyphomicrobiales. The record is from RNAcentral.
UAAUACAGAGGGUGCGAGCGUUAAUCGGAAUUACUGGGCGUAAAGCGAGUGUAGGUGGCUCAUUAAGUCACAUGUGAAAUCCCCCGGGCUUAACCUGGGAACUGCAUGUGAUACUGGUGGUGCUAGAAUAUGUGAGAGGGAAGUAGAAUUCCAGGUGUAGCGGUGAAAUGCGUAGAGAUCUGGAGGAAUACCGAUGGCGAAGGCAGCUUCCUGGCAUAAUAUUGACACUGAGAUUCGAAAGCGUGGGUUGCAAACAGGAUUAGAUACCCUGGUAGUCCACGCCGUAAACGAUGUCUACUAGCCGUUGGGGUCCUUGAGACUUUAGUGGCGCAGUUAACGCGAUAAGUAGACCGCCUGGGGAGUACGGCCGCAAGGUUAAAACUCAAAUGAAUUGACGGGGGCCCGCACAAGCGGUGGAGCAUGUGGUUUAAUUCGAUGCAACGCGAAGAACCUUACCUGGUCUUGACAUAGUGAGAAUCCUGCAGAGAUGC